AAUGAACGCUGGCGGCGUGCCUAACACAUGCAAGUCGAGCGGAAGAAGGGAGCUUGCUCCUGGAUUCAGCGGCGGACGGGUGAGUAAUGCCUAGGAAUCUGCCUGGCAGUGGGGGAUAACGUCCGGAAACGGGCGCUAAUACCGCAGACGACGAGAGGGAGAAAGUGGGGGUUCUUCGGACCUCACGGUUUUAGAUGAGCCUAGGUGGGAUUAGCUAGUUGGUGGGGUAAAGGCCUACCAAGGCGACGAUCCGUAACUGGUCUGAGAGGAUGAUCAGUCACACUGGAACUGAGACACGGUCCAGACUCCUACGGGAGGCAGCAGUGGGGAAUGUUGGACAAUGGGCGAAAGCCUGAUCCAGCCGCGCCGCGUGUGUGAAGAAGGUCUUCGGAUUGUAAAGCACUUUUAGUUGGGAGGAAGGGCUGUAAGUUGAUACCUUGCUGUUUUGACGGUACCUACAGAAUAAGCACCGGCUAACUACGUG
This 484-nucleotide ribosomal RNA is filed under the name uncultured bacterium. RNAcentral's name for it is "partial 16S ribosomal RNA". It matches the Rfam family "Bacterial small subunit ribosomal RNA", at positions 29 to 507 of the family's 1533-position model. The record is from RNAcentral.